GUCAUGAACGAAAAGGCAAAUCAACGCGAUAAUGGCUAGGAACCUUCAAACGAUGUCGACGUCGAACAAAUCAAAAGACACAAGAAAUUCGGUAACGACGACCUAAUACAAAAAUGAACAAGGAACCUUCGGACAACAUCGACAUCGAACGAGACAAAAAAUGAAAGAAGUCCGACGAACGACAAUUCAACACAACGCGCGGCCA
RNAcentral lists this long non-coding RNA (205 nucleotides) under Elaeis guineensis (African oil palm). RNAcentral describes it as "long non-coding RNA (EGUI_LNC037793)". Lineage: Eukaryota; Viridiplantae; Streptophyta; Magnoliopsida; Arecales; Arecaceae. The record is from RNAcentral.